Myotis myotis is the source of this 107-nucleotide small nuclear RNA. NCBI's taxonomy places the organism in Eukaryota, Metazoa, Chordata, Mammalia, Chiroptera, Vespertilionidae. The record is from RefSeq and is a predicted model, not a curated record.
GUGCUCGCUUCGGCAGCACAUAUACUAAAAUUGAAACAACACAGAGAAGAUUAGCAUGGCCCCUGUACAAGGAUGAUAAGCAAAUUCGUGAAACAUUCUAAUUGUUU